CCUACGGGAGGCAGCAGUGGGGAAUAUUGCGCAAUGGGGGAAACCCUGACGCAGCAACGCCGCGUGAAGGAUGAAGGUUUUUCGGAUUGUAAACUUCUUUGAUGGGGGACGAAGAAAAUGACGGUACCCCGAAAACAAGCCACGGCUAACUACGUGCCAGCAGCCGCGGUAAUACGUAGGUGGCGAGCGUUGUCCGGAAUUACUGGGUGUAAAGGGCGUGUAGGCGGGAUUGCAAGUCAGAUGUGAAAUUCCAGAGCUUAACUCUGGCGCUGCAUCUGAAACUGCGAUUCUUGAGUGCUGGAGAGGAUAGUGGAAUUCCUAGUGUAGCGGUGAAAUGCGUAGAUAUUAGGAGGAACACCAGUGGCGAAGGCGGCUAUCUGGACAGUAACUGACGCUGAGGCGCGAAAGCGUGGGGAGCAAACAGGAUUAGAUACCCUAGGUAGUCCACGCUAGUAAACGAUAGAAUACUAGGUGUAGGAGGUAUCGACCCUUCUGUGCCGCAGUUAACACAAUAAGUAUCCACCGUGGGAGUACGGCCGCGAGGUUGAAACGUCAAAUGAAUUGACGGCUUGACUUGCCGAGGCACACGAGGGAG
RNAcentral lists this ribosomal RNA (595 nucleotides) under uncultured bacterium. RNAcentral describes it as "bacterial SSU rRNA". It matches the Rfam family "Bacterial small subunit ribosomal RNA", at positions 338 to 947 of the family's 1533-position model. The record is from RNAcentral.